RNAcentral lists this ribosomal RNA (253 nucleotides) under uncultured bacterium. RNAcentral describes it as "partial 16S ribosomal RNA". It matches the Rfam family "Bacterial small subunit ribosomal RNA", at positions 524 to 776 of the family's 1533-position model. The record is from RNAcentral.
UACGUAGGGGCCUAGCGUUGUCCGGAUUUAUUGGGCGUAAAGAGCUCGUAGGCGGCCUGUUGCGUCCGCUGUGAAAGCCCGGGGCUUAACCCCGGGUCGGCAGUGGAUACGGGCAGGCUAGAGGUAGGUAGGGGAGAAUGGAAUUCCCGGUGUAGCGGUGAAAUGCGCAGAUAUCGGGAGGAACACCGGUGGCGAAGGCGGUUCUCUGGGCCUUACCUGACGCUGAGGAGCGAAAGCGUGGGGAGCGAACAGG